This is a small nucleolar RNA of Entelurus aequoreus (snake pipefish), 136 nucleotides long. RefSeq annotates it as small nucleolar RNA SNORA5. The record is from RefSeq and is a predicted model, not a curated record. Lineage: Eukaryota; Metazoa; Chordata; Actinopteri; Syngnathiformes; Syngnathidae. The transcript has a single exon.
UGCAGCCUUGUCAAAUUCAGUGCAUCUUCCACGAUGGAUGUCACUGGCCAAAAUGGCUGCUACAUUAAAAGUGUAGUUCAUGGGCCCUAUUGUGCUCCAACAUGGCCCUUGGGCAUAAAUAUGUCUACACACACUU